This 77-nucleotide transfer RNA is filed under the name Desulfocapsa sulfexigens. RNAcentral describes it as "tRNA-Arg". It matches the Rfam family "tRNA". From Rfam's summary of the family: Transfer RNA (tRNA) molecules are approximately 80 nucleotides in length. Their secondary structure includes four short double-helical elements and three loops (D, anti-codon, and T loops). Further hydrogen bonds mediate the characteristic L-shaped molecular structure. tRNAs have two regions of fundamental functional importance: the anti-codon, which is responsible for specific mRNA codon recognition, and the 3' end, to which the tRNAs corresponding amino acid is attached (by aminoacyl-tRNA synthetases). tRNAs cope with the degeneracy of the genetic code in two manners: having more than one tRNA (with a specific anti-codon) for a particular amino acid; and 'wobble' base-pairing, i.e. permitting non-standard base-pairing at the 3rd anti-codon position. The record is from RNAcentral. RNAcentral also lists the same sequence under 2 other names. Lineage: Bacteria; Pseudomonadati; Thermodesulfobacteriota; Desulfobulbia; Desulfobulbales; Desulfocapsaceae.
GGUCCCGUAGCUCAGUAGGAUAGAGCACCAGAUUCCUAAUCUGGGUGUCGCGCGUUCGAAUCGCGCCGGGAUCACCA